This 1512-nucleotide ribosomal RNA is filed under the name uncultured Chloroflexota bacterium. RNAcentral describes it as "SSU rRNA". It matches the Rfam family "Bacterial small subunit ribosomal RNA". Lineage: Bacteria; Bacillati; Chloroflexota. The record is from RNAcentral.
AGAGUUUGAUCAUGGCUCAGGAUGAACGCUGGCGGCGUGCUUGAUACAUGCAAGUCGAACGGAUGAGCGGUGGGUAGGAGCCUUGGAGUUGGUGGAAUAUGAGAAAUCGUAGGAAGCCGAUGAAGGGGAAGAAGCCCUGAGCUUGUCAGUGGCGGACGGGUGAGUAACACGUAGGAAUCUGCCCCGAGGUGGGGAAUAACUGACCGAAAGGUUAGCUAAUUCCGCAUACGAUCCGGAAGGAUGAAAGGCGCAAGUCGCCUUGGGAGGAGCCUGCGGCCGAUUAGCUAGUUGGUGAGGUAACGGCCCACCAAGGCGAUGAUCGGUAGCUGAUCUGAGAGGAUGGUCAGCCACACUGGAACUGAGAGACGGUCCAGACUCCUACGGGAGGCAGCAGUAAGGGAUAUUGCACAAUGGGGGAAACCUUGAUGCAGCAACGCCGCGUGCGCGAAGAAGGCCUUCGGGUCGUAAAGCGCUUUUCCGGGGGAAGAGGAAGGACAGUACCUCGGGAAUAAGUCUCGGCUAACUACGUGCCAGCAGCCGCGGUAAGACGUAGGAGGCGAGCGUUAUCCGGAUUUACUGGGCGUAAAGGGCAAGUAGGCGGCGGCAGAAGUUGUGCGUGAAAUCUCCCGGCUCAACUGGGAGGGAGCGUGCAAAACUGGGUCGCUAGAGGGCAGAAGAGGGGAGCAGAAUUCCUGGUGUAGCGGUGGAAUGCUCAGAUACCAGGAGGAAUACCAGUGGCGAAAGCGGCUCUCUGGUCUGAACCUGACGCUGAGAGGCGAAAGCUAGGGGAGCGAACGGGCUUAGAUACCCCGGUAGUCCUAGCUGUAAACGUUGGAUACUGGGUAAUGGGGGGUAUAAACCCUCAGUGCCGAAGCAAACGCGUUAAGUAUCCCGCCUGGGGACUACGGCCGCAAGGUUAAAACUCAAAGGAAUUGACGGGAGCCCGCACAAGCAGCGGAGCGUGUGGUUUAAUUCGAUGCGACACGAAGAACCUUACCUGGGUUUGACAUGUAUGUAGUAGGGAAGCGAAAGCGGACCGACCCGCAAGGGAGCAUACACAGGUGCUGCAUGGCUGUCGUCAGCUCGUGCCGUGAGGUGUUGGGUUAAGUCCUCUAACGAGCGCAACCCUCGUUGCUAGUUAAAGAUUUCUAGCGAGACUGCCGGGAUAUAACCGGAGGAAGGUGGGGAUGACGUCAAGUCAGCAUGGCCUUUAUAUCCAGGGCUACACACACGCUACAAUGGUCGGUACAGAGGGAAGCCAAGCCGCGAGGCGGAGCUAAUCUCACAAAGCCGAUCUCAGUUCAGAUUGCAGGCUGCAACCCGCCUGCAUGAAGUUGGAGUUGCUAGUAACCGCAGGUCAGCUAUACUGCGGUGAAUACGUUCCCGGGCUUUGUACACACCGCCCGUCACGUCAUGGAAGCUGGGAAUACCUGAAAUCAGCGAGCUAACCGCAAGGAGGCAGCUGCCUAGGGUAGGCCUAGUGACUGGGACGAAGUCGUAACAAGGUAGCCG